Molecule: small nuclear RNA, 105 nt
Organism: Schistocerca nitens (vagrant locust)
Lineage: Eukaryota; Metazoa; Arthropoda; Insecta; Orthoptera; Acrididae
Source: RefSeq, a predicted model, not a curated record
GUACCCACUUCGGCGGUAAGUAUACUAAAAUUGGAACGAUGCAGAGAAGAUCAGCAUGGCCUCUGACAGGAUGAAAAAAAACACUAUAAAUAAAUACCUCUAAAA